AUUCCAGCUCCAAUAGCGUAUAUUAAUGUUGUUGCAGUUAAAAAGCUCGUAGUUGGAUUUCUGGUCGGGACGUCUGGCCGGCUCCGCAAGGGGUCGUUGCAUUGACUGUACUCGUCCAUCCUCAGGUUGACUAGCUCUGGUAUUUAUUUAUCGGUGUUAGAACGCCUGUCGUUUACUGUGAACAAAUUAGAGUGUUCAAAGCAAGGUGUACUUGAAUACAUUAGCAUGGAAUAAUAAGAUAGGACUUUGGUGGUUCUUUUUAGAUAUUUUGUUGGUUUGCACGCCAAAGUAAUGAUUAAGAGGAACAGUUGGGGGCAUUCGUAUUUCAUUGUCAGAGGUGAAAUUCUUGGAUUUAUGAAAGACGAACUUCUGCGAAAGCAUUUGCCAAGGAUGUUUUCAUC
This 401-nucleotide ribosomal RNA is filed under the name Pteridomonas sp. RNAcentral's name for it is "partial small subunit ribosomal RNA". It matches the Rfam family "Eukaryotic small subunit ribosomal RNA", at positions 582 to 974 of the family's 1831-position model. Lineage: Eukaryota; Dictyochophyceae; Pedinellales. The record is from RNAcentral.